AAAAGCUUGCACCAUUAAAAGCAAAUAUCAAGAAAGCUUAUGAACAUGCAACUUUAGAUAUUGAAGAAAUGAAUUAUGAAGAGAAUGAUGGCACUGAUUGAAUGGGAAUGAAAAAUAUAAAGCAGAAUUGAUGCUGGGGUCAUUGUUAAGAUUGCAGAAACCAUCUCAUGCAUUUCCACCUCCAUUGUAAAGUUUUGAUGCAAAAAGGAAGCAUAAAUUGUUCAAGUCAUCAUGAAAGAAUUCCCAUUAUACUACGUGUACAUACUUAAUAACCUCAACUAAACUAUAGUUUCCCUUAUGAUGUGCCACUUUUACAGUCUAGCAACCCAGCUAAGAUAGACUCUAAUAGCUGAUGUUUUCUUUCAAUUCUGGUAUAUCCCUAAUGCUAAGUUUGGAUGACAAUCAAUGUAAGACUAACAUAGCCACAGUCCUGAACAGAUUUCAAUGAGAAAACAACUGUAAGCAGAAAAAGUAACCCAAAC
RNAcentral lists this unclassified non-coding RNA (482 nucleotides) under Hevea brasiliensis (rubber tree). Lineage: Eukaryota; Viridiplantae; Streptophyta; Magnoliopsida; Malpighiales; Euphorbiaceae. The record is from RNAcentral.